RNAcentral lists this long non-coding RNA (1093 nucleotides) under Canis lupus familiaris (dog). Its description in RNAcentral is "lncRNA (ENSCAFG00030009051.1)". The record is from RNAcentral. Lineage: Eukaryota; Metazoa; Chordata; Mammalia; Carnivora; Canidae.
AGUUUGGCUCUUGUGGACAUUGCUAUAAUAAAUAUUGGGGUGCAGGUGCUCCUUCAAAUUGCAUUUGUAUCUUUGGGGUAUGUAAUGCAAUUGCUAGGUCUAGGGUGGCUCUAUUUUUAACUUUUUGAGGAAACCCCAUACUGUUUUCCAGAGUGACUGCACCAGCUUGCAUCCCCACCAACAGUGUAAGAGGAGGGUUCCCGUUUCUCGGCAUCCUCUCCAAUGUCAGUCCUUUCCUGACCUGUCAAUUUUAGGCAUUCUGAGGCGGGGUGUGAGGCAGUAUCUCAGUGCAGUUUUGUAGCUCACUGACAAGCACUCCAGGUGAGUGAAGAUGUUAAAUAACUUAAGGAGCAUCCUACACACUGCAGACAAUUCAAAGAGCCCAUAUGCAAACCCCAGUCUGGAAGGCCCCAAAUGCAGACCCGGAAAGGUACCGCAAAGCAGGUUACAGGGUCUCCAAGGCGGACAAGGGCACACGGGAGGUGGGGUGGGGAAGCAUCACCAAGGGCCCGGGAGGGGACGGUGGUGGUGGCGGUUUGAUCGCCAUGCAGAUGCCCAACCUCCUGUUCUCGGAAGGUAGGAGGAGCUCAGGGCAGGGAGCUGAGCGACCUGUGCUUCCAUGAUAAAGGGACAGUCAUCCGAGGAGCAAAUGUCCAGGAAGGAGGGAGGGAGACCAAGGAAGAAGGAGGCUCCUCCUUCACUCGCGUCCUCAGCUCCCCAUGCACGCCACGUGGGUGGGAGCGUGUCACACACACCCACGCGCCCACAGCCACGCUCGCCGCUCUCCCGCCCCGGCCGGGCCCAUCUCCGCGCGCCUCGGGGCGCUGGGCCUCAGCCGGCCACGCCGCCACCUGCUGCUGCUGCGUCCCCAGGGAAGGCGAAGGAGCAUCUCCGCGCCUCCCGGGUCCUCGCGCCGAGCCCCUGCGCGGGGCAUGAGGAGCCCCGGGGCGCCGCCCGGAGACGGAGAGGACCCGGCUGCGCGCACACCUCGCCAGCGGCGGACGGGGACAUGAGCGGCGCGCGCGGGCUCCGGGGCCCGGCGGCCAGCCCCAGCCCGCGGCGGCCAGCGGGUCGGCGCUGCCCGGGAGAAUGA